UACAGAGGGUGCGAGCGUUGUCCGGAAUCACUGGGCGUAAAGGGCGCGUAGGCGGCCUGGUAAGCGUGCGGUGAAAGCCCGAGGCUCAACUUCGGGUCGGCCACUGAUACUGCGGGGCUCGAGUCGACUAGAGGCAGAUGGAAUUCCGGGUGUAGCGGUGGAAUGCGUAGAGAUCCGGAAGAACACCGGUGGCGAAGGCGGCUCACUGGCUCAUUACUGACGCUCAGGCGCGAUAGCGUGGGGAUCAAACAGG
RNAcentral lists this ribosomal RNA (253 nucleotides) under uncultured bacterium. Its description in RNAcentral is "partial 16S ribosomal RNA". It matches the Rfam family "Bacterial small subunit ribosomal RNA", at positions 524 to 776 of the family's 1533-position model. The record is from RNAcentral.